UGGACUACAAGGGUUUCUAAUCCUGUUCGAUACCCACGCUUUCGUGCCUCAGCGUCAGACCGGAGCCGGUAGGCUGCCUUCGCAAUCGGAGUUCUGCGCGAUAUCUAUGCAUUUCACCGCUACACCGCGCAUUCCGCCUACUUCUCUCCGUCUCCAGCCACACAGUUUCAACGGCUCGCCGGGGUUGAGCCCCGGGCUUUUACCGCUGACUUACAUGGCCGCCUACGCACCCUUUAAACCCAAUAAAUCCGGAUAACGCUCGCAUCCUCCGUAUUACCGCGGCGGCUGGCACCG
Molecule: unclassified non-coding RNA, 294 nt
Filed under: uncultured fungus
Lineage: Eukaryota; Fungi
Description: sequence contains ITS1
Source: RNAcentral